RNAcentral lists this ribosomal RNA (449 nucleotides) under uncultured Nitrospira sp. RNAcentral describes it as "bacterial SSU rRNA". It matches the Rfam family "Bacterial small subunit ribosomal RNA", at positions 342 to 791 of the family's 1533-position model. The record is from RNAcentral. Lineage: Bacteria; Pseudomonadati; Nitrospirota; Nitrospiria; Nitrospirales; Nitrospiraceae.
CGGGGGGCAGCAGUAAGGAAUAUUGCGCAAUGGGCGAAAGCCUGACGCAGCGACGCCGCGUGGGGGAUGAAGGUCUUCGGAUUGUAAACCCCUUUCGGGAGGGAAGAUGGAAUGGGGUAACCCAUUCGGACGGUACCUCCAGAAGCAGCCACGGCUAACUUCGUGCCAGCAGCCGCGGUAAUACGAAGGUGGCAAGCGUUAUUCGGAUUUACUGGGCGUACAGGGAGCGUAGGCGGUUCGGUAAGCCCUCUGUGAAAUCUUCAGGCUUAACCUGGAAAAGUCGGGGGGGACUGCCGGGCUAGAGGACGGGAGAGGAGCGCGGAAUUCCCGGUGUAGCGGUGAAAUGCGUAGAGAUCGGGAGGAAGGCCGGUGGCGAAGGCGGCGCUCUGGAACGUUUCUGACGCUGAGGCUCGAAAGCGUGGGGAGCAAACAGGAUUAGAUACCCCGGU